AGUGGGUGCGAGCAUCUUUGUGGCCAAGUUUUUUAGGGCACAUGGUGGAUGCCUUGGUACCAGGGGCCGAUGAAGGACGUGGUAGGCCGCGAUAGUCCUCGGGGAGUUGUCAAACGAGCUGUGAUCCGAGGGUGUCCGAAUGGGGAAACCCAGCCCGAGUGAUGUCGGGUUACCAAUGCCUGAAUGUAUAGGGUGUUGGGGGGAACGCGGGGAAGUGAAACAUCUUAGUACCCGUAGGAAGAGAAAACACUGGUGAUUCCGUGAGUAGUGGCGAGCGAAAGCGGAGGAGGCUAAACCGUGCGCGUGGGAUACCUGGUAGGGGUUGCGUGUGCGGGGUUGUGGGACGCUGCUGGGAGGAUCUACCAGUUCUCCAGCGUGGGUGUGCGUGUUAGUCGAACAGGUUGGGAUGCCUGACCAGAGUCGGUGAGAGUCCGGUAGGCGAAAAUGCGUGUGCCGCGUGUGGUGGUGUUCCCGAGUAGCAGCGCUUUCGUGGAGGGUGCUGUGAAUCUGGCGGGACCACUCGCUAAGCCUAAAUACUUCCUGGUGACCGAUAGUGGAUAGUACCGUGAGGGAAUGGUGAAAAGUACCCCGGGAGGGGAGUGAAAUAGUUCCUGAAACCAUGUGCCUGCAAUCCGUCAGAGCAACCGUUGCAGUUGUGAUGGCGUGCCUUUUGAAGAAUGAGCCUGCGAGUUACUGCUGCGUGGCGAGGUUAACCCGUUGGGGGUAGCCGGAGCGAAAGCGAGUCUGAAUAGGGCGUGGAGUCGCGUGGUGUAGACCCGAAGCGGGGUGAUCUACCCAUGGCCAGGGUGAAGCGCGGGUAAGACCGUGUGGAGGCCCGAACCCACCAGGGUUGAAAACCUGGGGGAUGAGCUGUGGGUAGGGGUGAAAGGCCAAUCAAACUCCGUGAUAGCUGGUUCUCCCCGAAAUGCAUUUAGGUGCAGCGUCGCAUGGUGCUUGGGUGGGGUAGAGCACUGGUUGGUUGAUGGGCCUUCACGGGUUACUGAGAUCAGCCAAACUCCGAAUACGCCUGAGUUGAGUGUGGCAGUGAGACGGCGGGGGAGAAGCUUCGUCGUCGAGAGGGAAACAGCCCAGAGCAUCGGCUAAGGCCCCUAAGUGUGCGCUUAGUGGGAAAGGAUGUGGGAUCGCUGAGACAACCAGGAGGUUGGCUUAGAAGCAGCCAUCCUUGAAAGAGUGCGUAAUAGCUCACUGGUCAAGUGGUCCUGCGCCGACAAUGUAGCGGGGCUGAAGCGCACCGCCGAAGCCAUGCCAGUCCAGUUUUGUGCUGGGUUGGGUAGGGGAGCGUCCUGCACGAGGUGAAGCGCCGGCGUGAGCUUGGUGUGGAUUGUGUGGGAGUGAGAAUGCAGGCAUGAGUAGCGAGUGAAGAGUGAGAAUCUCUUCCGCCGGAUGACCAAGGGUUCCUGGGGAAGGUUCGUCCGCCCAGGGUGAGUCGGGGCCUAAGGCGAGGCCGACAGGCGUAGUCGAUGGAUAACGGGUUGAUAUUCCCGUACCCGUGCAUGUGCGCCCAUGAUGAGGUCUUUGAUGCUAACCAUCCGCGUGCUGCUGGAUUCUUCGGAUGAUGGUGGUGUGUGCAUGGGACCCGAUUGGAUAGUAGUCAAGUGAUGGGGUGACGCAGGAGGGUAGCUCUGCCAGUGAGUGGUUGUACUGGUGUAAGCCUGUAGCCCGGUGUGUAGGUAAAUCCGCAUGCCGUUGUGGGUGAGAGGUGAUGCGUAGCCGUUGUGGUGAAGUGAGUGAUCCCAUGCUGCCGAGAAAAGCCUCUAGCGAGUGUGUGCACGGCCCGUACCCGAAACCGACACAGGUGGUCAGGUAGAGAAUACCGAGGCGGUCGGGUGAACUGUGGUUAAGGAAUUCGGCAAAUUGCCCCCGUAACUUUGGGAGAAGGGGGGCCACUGCUGGUGAACGCCCUUUGCGGUGGGAGCUGGUGGUGGUCGCAGAGGCCAGGGAGAAGCGACUGUUUACUAAAAACACAGGUCCAUGCGAAGCUGUAAGGCGAUGUAUAUGGACUGACGCCUGCCCGGUGCUGGAACGUUAAGAGGACCCGUAAAGCCCCUUUUGGGGUGUAGCGGAGAAUUUAAGCGCCAGUAAACGGCGGUGGUAACUAUAACCAUCCUAAGGUAGCGAAAUUCCUUGUCGGGUAAGUUCCGACCUGCACGAAUGGCGUAACGACUUCUCCGCUGUCUCGACCACAGGCCCGGUGAAAUUGCAGUACGAGUAAAGAUGCUCGUUUCGCGCGGCAGGACGGAAAGACCCCGGGACCUUUACUAUAGCUUGGUAUUGGUGUUUGGUUCGGCUUGUGUAGGAUAGGUGGGAGACUGGGAAGCAUUCACGCUAGUGGGUGUGGAGUCGUUGGUGAAAUACCACUCUGGUCGUUCCGGGCAUCUAACUCGGGUCCGUGAUCCGGAUCGGGGACAGUGCCUGGUGGGUAGUUUAACUGGGGCGGUUGCCUCCUAAAGGGUAACGGAGGCGCCCAAAGGUUCCCUCAGCCUGGUUGGCAAUCAGGUGUUGAGUGUAAGUGUAUAAGGGAGCUUGACUGUGAGACUGACGGGUCGAGCAGGUGCGAAAGCAGGGACUAGUGAUCCGGCACUGGCUGGUGGAAGCGGUGUCGCUCAACGGAUAAAAGGUACCCCGGGGAUAACAGGCUGAUCUUGCCCAAGAGUCCAUAUCGACGGCAUGGUUUGGCACCUCGAUGUCGGCUCGUCGCAUCCUGGGGCUGGAGUUGGUCCCAAGGGUUGGGCUGUUCGCCCAUUAAAGCGGCACGCGAGCUGGGUUUAGAACGUCGUGAGACAGUUCGGUCCCUAUCCGCCGCGCGCGUAGGAGACUUGCGGAAGGCUGUCCCUAGUACGAGAGGACCGGGACGGACGAACCUCUGGUGUGCCAGUUGUUCUGCCAAGAGCACGGCUGGUUGGCUAUGUUCGGGAGGGAUAACCGCUGAAAGCAUCUAAGCGGGAAGCCUGUUCCUAGAUGAGGUCUCCCACCCCUUUGUGGGUUAAGGCCCCCGGUAGAUGACCGGGUUGACAGGCCGGAUGUGGAAGCACAGCAAUGUGUGGAGCUGACCGGUGCUGAUAGGCCGAGGACUUGUCCAC
This 3101-nucleotide ribosomal RNA is filed under the name Saccharopolyspora rhizosphaerae. Its description in RNAcentral is "Saccharopolyspora sp. H219 23S ribosomal RNA". It matches the Rfam family "Bacterial large subunit ribosomal RNA". The record is from RNAcentral. Lineage: Bacteria; Bacillati; Actinomycetota; Actinomycetes; Pseudonocardiales; Pseudonocardiaceae.